AAAAAACCCAAACAACAAAAAGCCCCCUACAAACUCGUUAAAACUUAAAUAUCGGAUAAUCUCAAACCAGCUUACUGCCUGCGCCUAUGCAUCUCCACCAGCCUUCACUCGAGGGACUCGGGCGCCUGAAAUCGGUUUCAUGCUUCUUGAAUUGGUAUGAUCGGAAAGUUAAGAAGCCAGAAAACGGAGAAGUGAAUGUCAUGUACCUCCCCAGACCUGGAGGGAAACAGAGCUGUGGCCAAAAGGAGUGGGUGUAAAUGCGACAACAAAAAUAAAUACUUUAUA
Vidua chalybeata is the source of this 285-nucleotide long non-coding RNA. RefSeq lists it as uncharacterized. The transcript has 3 exons. NCBI's taxonomy places the organism in Eukaryota, Metazoa, Chordata, Aves, Passeriformes, Viduidae. The record is from RefSeq and is a predicted model, not a curated record.